Molecule: long non-coding RNA, 1309 nt
Organism: Papaver somniferum (opium poppy)
Lineage: Eukaryota; Viridiplantae; Streptophyta; Magnoliopsida; Ranunculales; Papaveraceae
Exons: 5
Source: RefSeq, a predicted model, not a curated record
GUUGUGGCCAUUGCAAGUACUGCUUUAGAGAAUUUUAAGAAUGAAGCUAAAAAAUGGUGGUUGCUCUAGUUGAUAUGAAACGUGCUUUUGUGCCUCAACACUUUAUCCGUUUGGUUCAAAGAAGGAUGGACAGACAGCGCAGAGAGGAAGAGGUAAAAAAACAAUUCAUUAAAAAAGGGCAAGAUGCAGAACAAUCUCUACUGAACAGAAUCAACCUCAUUGUUGAGACUUCUGAUAAUGCUGAAGUUGGUUGUAGCUGAUGGGAAGUUGAAUUUAGAUGAUAAUGCUGCUUUCCGCCAGAAAAAGAUCUUUGCUCUUCCUGAUAGGACCCAAGAGCACCCUCGAGAAUUUUGACCAUGUUAAUCUGGUUUUCUUUCCUUAUACUCAUUUGUCGUUGUGCAAAAUGAAAACUUGCAGACUAAUAUCUCUGUACAUUUGAUCUAAGGAUUGUCUAGUACUUUGUCAUGUAUGAAUAUAAGUAGCAAGAGUAACAGUAGGUGAACUAUUUUGUUCAAUUCAUGACAUUCAUUUUAUUGGAUUUCAGGUGGCUUGAUUUGAACACAUGGGCUUAGAUGAGAAAAUUGGGUACAUUGUUAAUGGUCAUGCGGGAUUUUACAAUUUCUACCAUGGACAUAAUUAAGUUGCCUGUGGAACUACUGCCAAUUUUUUAGAUGCCGAUGGCAGUGCUUCUGAACCCCAGCUAAGUGACAUCCUAUCGGCAGAAUUUGGAGUAGCUCUUGCAGUGUGAGCUCAAGUAGGCACGCAAAAGCAAGCGCAUAUGUCCUCCGAAACUUCGUUGGAGGCUUCCCUUCCUCCUCUUUUAUGCUAACAUGUCUACAUGUUCUGAUCACCAUGAAGUAAAGCAUGCAUAGUGUGAAUAAAUCAGAAAGUUGUUGAAUUUUAAGUUGCAAGGGUGCAAGAUGAAUCUAAAGUCUAAUUUGGGAUGGCUCCUAAGGUAAGCAUUGUUAGUGUUCUCUUCUAGUUUCCUGCAGUAGUCAUAAGACUCGUAACCUUCCGAGUCUUUCCAGACAGGAACAUAGUUUACAACAUUGCGUUUUUCAAAUUUCUAACAUUUAGACAUUCACCUAUAUCCUCCAUGUUGGUUUCUAUGCAAAUUAUGAUUAAGACCCUAGCAGAUAGGUAUUGAAAAUUAGGAUAACUGAGUUUACGUCGCAACCACAAAAUGUAGGUUAUAUCGCAAAGCCUUACGAUCACAAGGCGAACAUUUUCAGUUUCACAAUUGUGUUGUAGGAGAUGCUAACUAGAAAGGUAAAAAAUCUAGUAAAAUUUUGUUUGGAAACUGAACUUG